GAUGAACGCUGGCGGCGUGCCUAAUACAUGCAAGUCGAGCGAACGGACGAGAAGCUUGCUUCUCUGAUGUUAGCGGCGGACGGGCGAGUAACACGUGGAUAACCUACCUAUAAGACUGGGAUAACUUCGGGAAACCGGAGCUAAUACCGGAUAAUAUUUUGAACCGCAUGGUUCAAAAGUGAAAGACGGUCUUGCUGUCACUUAUAGAUGGAUCCGCGCUGCAUUAGCUAGUUGGUAAGGUAACGGCUUACCAAGGCAACGAUGCAUAGCCGACCUGAGAGGGUGAUCGGCCACACUGGAACUGAGACACGGCCCAGACUCCUACGGGAGGCAGCAGUAGGGAAUCUUCCGCAAUGGGCGAAAGCCUGACGGAGCAACGCCGCGUGAGUGAUGAAGGUCUUCGGAUCGUAAAACUCUGUUAUUAGGGAAGAACAUAUGUGUAAGUAACUGUGCACAUCUUGACGGUACCUAAUCAGAAAGCCACGGCUAACUACGUG
Molecule: ribosomal RNA, 497 nt
Filed under: uncultured bacterium
Lineage: Bacteria
Description: partial 16S ribosomal RNA
Rfam family: Bacterial small subunit ribosomal RNA
Source: RNAcentral